CAGUCGCCGCGGUAAUACGAAGGGGGCUAGCGUUGUUCGGAUUUAAUGGGCGUAAAGCGCACGUAGGCGGACUUUUAAGUCAGGGGUGAAAUCCCGGGGCUCAACCCCGGAACUGCCUUUGAUACUGGAAGUCUUGAGUAUGGUAGAGGUGAGUGGAAUUCCGAGUGUAGAGGUGAAAUUCGUAGAUAUUCGGAGGAACACCAGUGGCGAAGGCGGCUCACUGGACCAUUACUGACGCUGAGGUGCGAAAGCGUGGGGAGCAAACAGGAUUAGAUACCCGUGUAGUCCCUGUCUCUUAUAC
RNAcentral lists this ribosomal RNA (301 nucleotides) under uncultured bacterium. RNAcentral's name for it is "partial 16S ribosomal RNA". It matches the Rfam family "Bacterial small subunit ribosomal RNA", at positions 509 to 807 of the family's 1533-position model. The record is from RNAcentral.